Molecule: long non-coding RNA, 710 nt
Filed under: Equus caballus (horse)
Lineage: Eukaryota; Metazoa; Chordata; Mammalia; Perissodactyla; Equidae
Description: lncRNA (ENSECAG00000037308.2)
Source: RNAcentral
CUUCCCCCACCUCCACCCCACCCCCAGCCCCAGGCAUUAGGCUCGGUUUCUCGGGAUCCUGGGCGUUUGCUCAGACCCCGCACAGACUCGCUCACAUUACUUUUUUAAAACAAAAGCAAUUAGAUUUCAAUCCUGGUUCAUUUGCAUUUGCACCUCGGAAACUGGAGAAGGAGGUUGCGGGAGCGAAGGAGAGGGGAGCCCGGCGGCGGCGGGUGACACCUUCCGAGCGCCACAGCUGGCCCGGACUGCCAUUGCGCCGGCCACAUCUGGCCCGGCCGCGCGGCCGCCGCGGCCCCCUCCCCGCCCGCUCCCGGGCCCGCGCGCCGCAGCCCGCUCGGCGGCGCGCUCAUCGAUCGCCGGGGCCGCAGCCGGGCGAGCGGAGAACAAGUGAUUCAUUCAACAUGGCAGUUCCCAUACUCAUCGCACAAGGCGUGGACGACACAAAGAGAUGGCUUGCCUGCAAGAGACCCAGCUGGUCCAGAGUCGGAGGCACAUUUCAUUUCUCUGGCCAGCUGGAGAGGCGGCCGGAGCAGACGAGGAGAUCGCCUCUAAUGUUCUAAAUGUCAAUAUGGUCCCUACUGGCUGACUCGCCAAGAUUUGAUCAGCAAAUUGGCCUGCGUGAUGUGUUCCCUGCAAUGCACGGUGUGUGUUUAAAUCUUUCAACAGUGUCAUGAAAGAAGCUGAAGAACAGUAAACAAUUCUCAGUGGAA